GACGAACGCUGGCGGCGUGCUUAACACAUGCAAGUCGAGCGGAGCGGCGAACGGGUGAGUAACGCGAGAGUAACUGCCCCCCUCUCUGGUAUAACAGUUGGAAACGGCUGCUAAUACCGGAACGUGGGGAGGGACUCGCGGCCUGCCCGUGUGUUGGGGGGGUAGUUGCCGUCCAAGGCGACGACGGGUGGCCGGCCUGGGCGGGCGGACGGCCACAUUGGGCUGAGAUACGGCCCUAACCCCUACGGGAGGCAGCAGUGGGGAAUAGUGCACAAUGGGGGAAACCAUGAUGCAGCAGCGCCGCGUGCGGGAUGACGGCCUUCGGGUUGUAAACCGCUUUCAGCCAUGACGCGGUAGUGGCAGAAGAAGCACCGGCUAACUACGUGCCAGCAGCCGCGGUAAUUC
This 405-nucleotide ribosomal RNA is filed under the name uncultured bacterium. RNAcentral describes it as "partial 16S ribosomal RNA". It matches the Rfam family "Bacterial small subunit ribosomal RNA", at positions 28 to 526 of the family's 1533-position model. The record is from RNAcentral.